GAUUGCUUCUUCUUUGAAGGAGCGGAUCCUGCAGGCUUAGUUUCAUUAGAAUCCUUUUCUUUCAAAACUGAGCUUUUGAAAUAAACCGAGUCAGUUUCUUUAGAAGCUAUUUUUUCAGACACAAAGCUUUCAGGAUCAUCUGAUUCUUGAUUGCCAGAUUAUGAGCAAUUUUCAUCAACAAUGGUUUGAUUAUCUGAAACAUUCUGCUCAUUAUCUGAUAUAUCUUCGGUCUGAUUUACAGAUUCAUCAAAGGGCUCCUGUUCAUCAACAAAUUCAUUCACACAGUCAGACACAAUAACAUUUUCAACUUCACAAUGUUCAGAGAGAUCUGAGGGAUAAGUUGAGGUGCCGGGCAUACUAUCAAAGUUAUAAGAAUCAUUCAAAACAGGCACAUCAGAUUCGACAUCGGAUGCCCCAGACUCUUCUGUGGGUCAGGCGUUCUUUGGUUUGAAAGGUUCCCAUCGGAUGUAGUCGCUUGGCUUGCCAUAUGUGACACCCCAGGAAAACCAGUGAACAACGUAACUUACCCAGCUUCCUCAGUGAGUGCGUACCAAAUUUCGGGACGAAAUUUCUUUUAAGUUGGGGAUAAUGUGACAACUCGAGUUUCUGAUUUUCACUUUCGCACUUGAUGCGUGUUGACUUUGACUGUUUAGUUGUUUGUAUUGUGAAUUGGAAGUUGUACGUGUUGUGUUUUAAUGAAACGAUUGUCAUUUG
This 714-nucleotide long non-coding RNA is filed under the name Helianthus annuus (common sunflower). Its description in RNAcentral is "hypothetical non coding rna". Lineage: Eukaryota; Viridiplantae; Streptophyta; Magnoliopsida; Asterales; Asteraceae. The record is from RNAcentral.